GGUAUCCUACGGGGCGCAGCAGUGGGGAAUAUUGCACAAUGGGGGAAACCCUGAUGCAGCGACGCCGCGUGAGUGAAGAAGUAUUUCGGUAUGUAAAGCUCUAUCAGCAGGGAAGAAGAAGGACGGUACCUGAGUAAGAAGCCCCGGCUAACUACGUGCCAGCAGCCGCGGUAAUACGUAGGGGGCAAGCGUUGUUCGGAAUGACUGGGCGUAAAGGGUGUGUAGGCGGUGUAGCAAGUUAGAAGUGAAAUACCUAGAGCUUAACUCAGGUGCUGCUUCUAAAACUGCUAUACUUGAGUGCAGUA
This 305-nucleotide ribosomal RNA is filed under the name uncultured bacterium. RNAcentral describes it as "bacterial SSU rRNA". It matches the Rfam family "Bacterial small subunit ribosomal RNA", at positions 333 to 653 of the family's 1533-position model. The record is from RNAcentral.